Molecule: unclassified non-coding RNA, 309 nt
Filed under: uncultured fungus
Lineage: Eukaryota; Fungi
Description: partial contains 5.8S ribosomal RNA and internal transcribed spacer 2
Rfam family: 5.8S ribosomal RNA (bases 1-133)
Source: RNAcentral
UGGUUCUAGCAUCGAUGAAGAACGCAGCGAAAUGCGAUAAGUAAUGUGAAUUGCAGAAUUCAGUGAAUCAUCGAAUCUUUGAACGCACAUUGCGCCCCUCGGUAUUCCGACGGGCAUGCCUGUUCGAGCGUCAUCAAACACAACCGAGCACCGCUCUGUGUUGGGACCGGCCGUCUGGCCCUCCUGUAACCAGUCGGCGGAUCGUCCGGCCCUAGGCGUAGCAGAAACUAUCGCCUCGGGAGCCGUGAGCGGUCUGGCCGGUAGACUCUCCAGCGGUUUGACCUCGGAUCAGGUAGGGAUACCCGCUGA